This is a non-coding RNA of Sus scrofa (pig), 4138 nucleotides long. The record is from RefSeq and is a predicted model, not a curated record. NCBI's taxonomy places the organism in Eukaryota, Metazoa, Chordata, Mammalia, Artiodactyla, Suidae.
GGGUGGCUUGUGUAAGUUCCUAGUUUCUGUUGUAUUCUGCCAUAACCAUUUCCACUCCUGGCAACCAACGAAUCUGUUCUCCUCUCUAUACUUUUGCCAUUUUGAGACUAUCACGUAAGUGGAAUCAUAACAUGUAAGACUGGCUUGUCUCGCUCUGCCUGAUUCCCUUGAGAUCCACCCACUAGUCCAUGGAACGACAGAAAACAAACAAACAAAAAACGAGUUGCAAAAGCCAUCUUGGAGAACAGAACUGGAGGCAUCACACUUCCUGAUUUCAAAAUCUGUUACAAGGUGCUGGGAGCCACAAAGUGGCUAAGAAGAAUAAUCCUGCGUGAGGCCUGACUGUGAGCAAAGCUACAGCAGAGGCUGAAGAAACUGAAGCUGCAAAGCAGUUUCGAAGAGUCCCCCAGCUGAUUCUGUUUAGUAAAAAUUCCUGAAAUACGAUUUUCUCUCCUAUUCUUGCGCUUCUUUCCUGAUGUUUAUGUGUGUUGUGAGUCAUUCUUGGCUCAUACAAAUAUGGGAACCUUCUCAAAUUCCUGAGCUUCCACCCAAGCAUGGGCCAUUACCUACUUAUAAACCUAAGCCCUUGUCUAAUAGGUUGAAAACAAUUGAACCAUGCAUGAAGAACUUUCCUAAGAAUGGGAGGUUUCCCUUCAGAGGACUAAUAGUAAAUAUUACGCAGAACUGCCACGUAAGCCUGGAGAUCUUCGUUGGACUUUGGUCCGUCCCCAUGGAGACAGAUUAGGGGGUGGUUUGGGUGUUGCCCAUGGCCCCAAAAUUGUGAAUAUUAUAAGGCAAGAUAUUUUUUUCUACAAUAAACACUACCUGUUGGGACCCAGCAGGUGGAAAUUAUUAUUAUAACUGGCAAGAUUCUUUUGAUAUAUAGAUUUUAUAAUUAAUAAAGAUUUCUAUAAUAGAUAAGGUUUAUUUAAGACAGUUUAUGUUCCCACAACCUGCUAAUGGUCUGAGGUCAGCUUGACCUCGAAAGCAAGCCACGUGUGAAUACCCCACUCCCCAUCAAUGGCUGUUCAUGCCUGCUAGAGGAGCACAAUAGGUAGCUUGAGGCAAGAAUAUCUAUCACCUUAUGCCAAAUCAUUGUUAAAGCAAAAAUUAGAUACCUAUUAUUCUGCUUGCUAUUUACUUAUUUUCUAAGAAUAAAGUACAGUUUGUACGUAUUUUCUACGUAAUCUUUAUUUUAAAUCUAAAACUAAAAGAAUAGUUUGGAAUAAUAAAUUAGCAUAUAUUGUUGUUUUGUAUAAUCAUGCACAAGAGUAAAAUGUAUAAAAGCUGAUGCUCUCCUUUCAAUAAACGGGUCAUCUGCAGCACUUGCUGAGGGAGUUGGCUCCAAUUCUUUCCGCGCCUGUUUGUAGCCCCUCCUCCUGUUCGUCGUCUCCUGGCUGCUGGGGCUGGACCCCGGCAACAAGGCUGUAGUAGCCAAGCGUAAAGGCAGAUACAUAGACCAAAGGGACAUCAUCGGAGCUCAGAAAUAAACCCACACACUAACUGUUGGUAAGAGAACCGAGGAUGCUUAGUGAAGAAAAGGUCUCUGAUAAAGAGGUGCCAGAGAAGCCGGAUGUCCACAGAAAAGAAAGAAAUUGGGUCCCUUUCUUCAACCACUCACAGACAUUAACUGGAAAUGGAUUAAGGACUUAAAUGUAAGACCUGAAACAGUAAGACUACUCUAAGAACAUAGGGAAAAAGCUGUUUGACAUUUGGCAAUAAUUUUUUUGGAUGUGACACCAAAAGCAUAAGCAACAAAAGCAAAAAUCAGCAAGUGGAACUAUGUCAAACUCAAAAGCUUCUGCACAGAAGAGGAACCCAACCACAAAACAGAAAGGCCACGUGCUGAAUGGGAAAAAAUAUUUGCAAAUUUGUAUCGGAUAAGGGGUUUAUAUCCAAAAUAUAUAGAACUCAUACAACAGUAACUGAAAAAAAAAAAUCAGUCUGAUUAAAAAAUGGGCAAAUAACUUGAACAGACAUUUUUCCAAAGAACACAUUCAAAUGGCCACCACACAUGGAAGGAUGCUCAACAUCACUGGUCGUCAGGGGAAUGCAAUUCAAAUGUCACCUCAUUCUUGUUAGGAUGGCUGUUAUCAAAAAGACGAGAUUAAAAGUGUGACCGAAGGUGUGGAGAGAAGGGAACCCUUGUGCGUGGAUGGUAGGGAUGUAAACUGGUAGAGCCACUACGGAAACAGCAUGUAUGUUCCUCAAAAAAUUAAAACUGGAACUACCAGAUGACCCAGCAAUUCCACUUCUGAAUGUAUAUUCCAAGGGUGCGAGAUCACUGACCUGAGAUACUUGUACUCACACAUUCACUGCAGCAUCGUUUACAGUCGCCUUAAUCUGGAAGCAACCUAGAUGCCCAUCCGUGGAUAAAUGGAUAAAGAAGAAAGAUGUGAAAUCUUGAAGAACUCCUCUUACAUUUGAAGGAGCAAUCACCUCUUUCAGACUCUAGGGACUGACACGGCUGUGGCAGGAUGAUAACUGUUCUUUCAAUAACCAGCUCCAGUGCUGUGGUCGAGGGGACCCCGGUUAUGUUUCAAGUCAACAGCAAGGGCCACACUUGUGGCCUAUGGAAAUUUCCAGGCUAGUGGUUGCGUGGGCGCUGCUGCUGCCAACCACAGCCUCAGCCAUGUGGGAUCUGAGCCACGUCUGCGACCUAUAGCACAGCUCACAGCAAUGCCGGACCCUUAACCCAUGGAGUGGGGCUAAGGAUCGAACCCACAUCCUCAUGGAUACUAGUCAGGUAUGUAACCCACCGAGUCACAAUGGGAACUCCCAGAUUUGAAGUAUUUAGUUGCAGUCUGCUCUCUACUGAACCUUGUGUUGGUGGUGUUCAGGGCAGUGAUGAGAUUGGGGCGGGUGUCCCACCCAAAGUGAUGCUAUGCUUCUAAAUGUUGCAGGGACCACCCAACAGGAGGCUCCCCAAAUGCAAUGCCGUGAGGGCGUUGGUAAGGGUGGAGCCCGGUGUGACCAGGAGAAAAGCAAGCAUUUCUGGGGAGAGGCGCUGGGUCUUGCUUCCUCGCUCAAGAGAAAGGGCUAGUCUCCUUCAUUCCCUUUAAUUCAAAGGCAGGGUGACCUUGGCUGAGGUGUCGGCGUUCCAGUGAUACGCCUUGACCCAUUCUGUUUACUGUAGUUCAGUUCACGUAAGAACCCAGUCAUCUUUGUGGGUCAGAGUCCUGGGAGGGUGCAGGAGCUGUGAGCACAGGGCAGGGAGGGUUGUAAAGUGGGGGCUGGAGGCCAAGACUGCGUCUCCACUAGAAUCUCCACCCCAGACAGGCCUUGGAAGUGAGUUCCUGGGUGUCUCGCCUGCCAGCCUGCAAUCUGGAGUCUCUGCGUCUUUCUUGGGUCCCUCCCUUGGAGGCCGGAUUCACGUGUCACCUGGGGAAGGAAGAGCCCAAGACACACUUUACCGUCCUUUGGAAAUUCUGCUUAUCAAACUAUGGGAUGUUUAAAAUCUUAUCAGCCUCAUUUAGGGGUUUUCUUAUACUGAGGAAAGGUGGUUUGUGGUAAAAGCUAGGCUCUGCUGCGGUCAUUUCAGAAACAGAAUCUUUUUUCCCCUGAGUGGUGUAUGAUGGUCAGCCCCUGAAGAAAUGCCUUCCGGGAUAAUUUUUUGAUGCUUUUUUUUCUCCCUUGAUGAGAACAGAUUUACUAAGUAACAAUUUCAUUUUAAAGUGGAGAAGCAGAUCUCUUUGGGAGGCAGUUGUUAUAGAAAAACUCUGCCACAAAGUGGGAACAUAAAAUAGCCUCCAUUUUUAUAAAUUCAUUAGUGAGGUUUAGACGCCUCAGAAAAGGCAUACAUGGGAUUAAGGGAAUCCAGAUUCUAGGAACUACAUGGCUUUUGAACCCUUUGGAAAUGAUAAGAAAACUCUUGGUUUUUCCAAUUAUUUUGAGAAAUAAAAUAGUUUGUUUUUUUUUCAAAAAUUUUUAUGAAUAAAAACAAGUCUUUGCAAUUAAGCUGCUAGCUAGUCAUCGUAAUAAACUAGUCCUAUAUUGUCUUUAGCUGGUGUCUGGUCCUUAGGCGUUAAGAAAAAGUGUCAUACAGCCAGUUUAGGAUGACUAUGUGGCAAAUUUUGAGUUGUUCUUUCUGUAUCAAGAAUAAAAUAAGUCUAGGGAAAAUUUCCCAGUUUUCUUGGAG